Long non-coding RNA from Halichondria panicea, 549 nucleotides. RefSeq lists it as uncharacterized. The record is from RefSeq and is a predicted model, not a curated record. Lineage: Eukaryota; Metazoa; Porifera; Demospongiae; Suberitida; Halichondriidae. The transcript is spliced from 4 exons.
GGGGGAAGAUGAGCAUUUUGGGGGGAAGGUUCACCCCAGCCCACUCCACUAGAUGAAACCCUGCUGGGACAGGAACCUGACUGUACUCGUGAGGAGCAGGCUCAUAAAAUGAGCAUCAAUUGCUGAAACUGAGCUUGCCAUCCACCUCAUGCUCCACUUUGACCUUGUCCACGUGACCUUUUUUUAUCCUCAACCAGUGUAGAUUUCUCCUCCUCCUCUUAGCCAGCUGUCCUUCUCUAUAAUACCUCAGCCUGUGGAGGACAGAGAUAGCUUUGUUUGAUAUAAAUAGAGGUCAAUCAAAAAGGUACUGUAUUUCCAAGAUUGAACAGGCAUAGCUUGUACGUGUAAGGGGACUCAUAAAGUAAAGGACUGAGGAUAAUUAAAUUGCACAGAUGCAAGUGCGUAAGGAGUUGUUGUAUCGUUGUAUGUUGCCCUCCAUCAGCUUUGAUGGGCUAAAACAUCACUGGCGCCUCUUAAAGUCUCUAGUACGCAGUCAAGCUAAGGACAUGUAUUUCUGGAACUCUUCCACCAAUUGUUGUCUGACGCGUA